RNAcentral lists this ribosomal RNA (419 nucleotides) under bacterium. RNAcentral's name for it is "partial 16S ribosomal RNA". It matches the Rfam family "Bacterial small subunit ribosomal RNA", at positions 355 to 776 of the family's 1533-position model. The record is from RNAcentral.
UGGGGGAUAUUGCACAAUGGGCGAAAGCCUGAUGCAGCGACGCCGCGUGGGGGAUGAAGGCCUUCGGGUUGUAAACUUCUUUUGCUCUGAACAAGGCGCACCAUGGGGUGUGUUGAGUGUAGGGGUUGAUUAGCGCCGGCUAACUACGUGCCAGCAGCCGCGGUAAUACGUAGGGCGCGAGCGUUGUCCGGAAUGAUUGGGCGUAAAGGGCUUGUAGGUGGCUGGUUGCAGCUGUCGUGAAAGCUCAUGGCUUAACUGUGGGUUUGCGGUGGGUACGGGCUGGCUUGAGUGCAGUAGGGGAGGCUGGAAUUCCUGGUGUAGCGGUGGAAUGCGCAGAUAUCAGGAGGAAUACCGGUGGCGAAGGCGGGUCUCUGGGCUGUUACUGACACUGAGGAGCGAAAGCAUGGGGAGCGAACAGG